RNAcentral lists this long non-coding RNA (1967 nucleotides) under Sus scrofa (pig). RNAcentral describes it as "lncRNA (ENSSSCG00060011430.1)". The record is from RNAcentral. Lineage: Eukaryota; Metazoa; Chordata; Mammalia; Artiodactyla; Suidae.
UUUUUUUUUUUUUUUUGCUUUUUUGUUGUUGUUGUUGCUAUUUCUUGGGCUGCUCCCGCGGCAUAUGGAGGUUCCCAGAAAAGGCAAAAAGACAAAAAAAACCCCAACAACAACAAACCAAAAUCCAUGUUCUUUUGUUCCAUACUGCUCCUCUUCCAAGAAUACCUUCACAUCCCCAACUUGUCCACCUAGCACACGCCUCAUUUUCAAGUUUCAUCCCAAACUUUAUGUUCCAACUGCUCUAUUCCUUCCUUCCUUAAUGCUUGGUCCACUGUGCCUUGCAGAUAUUUCUAAUGAGGUACUUAAUAUUCUGAGCCGUGUGUUUAUUGGCAUGUCUGUUUCCCCCAGUUUUAAAGUGCCUAAGAACAGGGCCUAUAUCUUGUGAGUAUAUGCUCUGUGCCCAGCAGACCCUCACGUAUGCAGUAAAGCAGUAGACAUCAACAAAUACAGUAUAGUAUUCUCACCUGAUGAAUGAAGAGCCUUAAGUUUCCCCACCUGUAGAUGAUGCUGAACUACAAUAAGCUUGAGGGUAAGAAGUCUCUUGCUCAACAUUUCCACAACAGAAUGCAUGAUCACCCCUCAAAAUUGCUCCUACUAGUCAAAUUGAAUUUCUUUCAGAUUUACAAAUGUGCUGGCUUUGCUUUCUCUCUCCUUCAGGCUUUCACAUAUCCUAUUCCCUCUGCCAGAAAUACUAUUCCUCUUCUCUUCAUGUGGCCUAUUUCUAUGAGUUACUCUUCCAGGCAAGUUUUCAUGACUCCCUUAGGCUGGUCUAGAAGCUUCAGCUCUAUCCCCACAACACAUGUUCCCCCUCCUUUCAGGGCACUUAUCACGCUGAUGUAAUGGCCUGUUUUUUGUCUCCCUACCAGAAUGCAAGCUCUAAGGAGUCAAGACCACAUCCUGUUCCCAGUGUAAGAUUAUUACUGCUGAAUAAAUCAAUGUUUACUUACAGAUUUACCUACUUAAAACUGAUAGAAAUAACAGUUAAAGAAAUAUCUUUAGACAAUUACUUCAACCUACCUUUAGAAAAAGGAAAAUUCAGGCAUAAGAAAACAUCCUACUUUAAAGUUAAAAAUUCUUUAGUACAAAUGGGAUGACAUGGAGGGCGAAAGCAUUUUUGAAGGUACUACCACCUACCGGUGAUACAGUAGUACUGCACAGAUGUAUUACAGACGAAGCAUAAAGAAGAGCUGCCAGUAACAGAGCUCACAUAUUCGGUUUUAGGACAGCAGUACUGAGGCCAAAUGAGGCACUGAGGAAACUGCACGUUAUAAAGUCAAUAGGAAAAACUGCAUUUUAAUAAAACUGCAAUUUCUGUUGGUAACGAAACUCUCGGGAUAAAACGCGUUUUGCGAACAUAAGCAAACAGUGUACAUACUCUCAUCACAGGCCAGUCUGACAAAGACGCUUGCCAAAUCUAUGCAGAAAAAGCCUCAGAAACGUAAAGGUUCCCAAUGACUAAGAGCCCACUGUGCCUCAAAAGUUGACAAAACAACGGUCAUUAACACCUGCAGUAAUUGUGAAGAGAUCAAGCGACACGCUUCACAGCGCAGCUGACGCUAUGGUAUAUACCACGCUUAGUUUUGUGAUACAGGAGGAAAAUCAAAGAGAUCGUUUCCUAAAUUUAGUCAACUCUCCAGAAGUAAAAAGACGAGCCUCUGUCACUCCACACACUCCUUCCUUGGUUGUCGGCUGCACCUUUCCAUACUGUUUCGUGUGUUGUGAUUAUUCUACUGCCUCCCCAAUCGAGUGGAAGCUCCCAGAUGGUUAGGGAUGGUUCUGCCGGCCCGGGCCCCCACCCCGAGGACGCCGGCAGAGAUGACCGGUCUUGAGCUGCGCUCGGCGGACGACUGGCGGAGGCCAAGGCCACGCCGCCCUCCCCCUGGCUUCCCGCCCCAACCCCAAGACCUUCGACGGAGGGCGCUCGCCUUGGGCCGCGGACGGGCGGCUUCAGAGGCGAAAGCCACCCC